CUAAGAAACCAUACCUGCCAUGUGACAGCUACUCCGACAGUUGAAGUGAACUCAAGACUGAGUAAAUUCAAGAUCUGUAGAUACUGUGCCUGAAUAAACACAGGUGCAAAUACUAUGGUAGCAUUGUUAGCCAUAGUGGACCUUUGUUUUGUAAAUUUAAAAUCAACAGGAUACCCAAUAAGCUUCUAACAAGUUUCCCGUUUGUGACCUUUAAUCUUUCAAUUGUCACACACAUCUUUCAAUGGUCACAGAAUACAAUGUUGUAGGUUCAUGUUGUCUUUGAG
This 284-nucleotide long non-coding RNA is filed under the name Gossypium raimondii (Peruvian cotton). Its description in RNAcentral is "long non-coding RNA (GRAI_LNC005924)". Lineage: Eukaryota; Viridiplantae; Streptophyta; Magnoliopsida; Malvales; Malvaceae. The record is from RNAcentral.